Molecule: small RNA, 157 nt
Filed under: Leptolyngbya sp.
Lineage: Bacteria; Bacillati; Cyanobacteriota; Cyanophyceae; Leptolyngbyales; Leptolyngbyaceae
Description: c-di-AMP sequence
Rfam family: c-di-AMP riboswitch aptamer (ydaO/yuaA leader)
About the family: This family represents a conserved RNA structure found upstream of the ydaO and yuaA genes in Bacillus subtilis and related genes in other bacteria.
Source: RNAcentral
CGAGUCGGUCAGCCUAAUUCAGAAUCUUCUGAAGCGGAGGAACCAGUUUAAUCGGGGCUUACGGUUGUGAACUUAGACACCUUCUAAGCAAUCCAACCGGGGACAAUCUCUCAGUCCUCGCCCGUCAGCUAACUCCGUCGGCACGUUGAGAGUUUGA